GUGAGUCCCCUAUGUAACUCCCGCCCUUCUUCCUCACUUUGAGGAGGGUGGGGGACGAGGUCAUGAGGGAGGCUCCUCCUGGGCAGGGGCAGGUGUGGGAGGCUGUGAGCCCGGGGCCCUGGCCUGCGCCCCCAGGACGGGGGUGAGAGGAGGAGAAGGGCAGUGCCCAGGGAUGAUCCGCAGCCCGCAGGGCCUUCUCCUGUCCUCUGGGGUAGAAGCCUGAGACAGAGCUGUUUGUGUUUCAGGAGCACAAGGUUACCCGGGGCAGAAACAGCGCAAACUGUGGUCAGGCAGAGCCUUGUGCUUGCUGCUGGCUGCCGGGCACUGUCCCCACAGAGCUGCACACAGGACACUGUGUCACUUCCGUCCUGUCACGGCUUUAUUCUGCCAUGUCACCUCAGGGCAACUCCUGGCCAGGGCCCAUGUAGUACCCACAGGGGCUACGCGACCUGCAAAGAUGGCAGUGAGCACAGCCGGGAAGCCUCUCAGGACCAGGAAGUGGGCCUGACUUUUUCUGAGCCUUCUCCACCAGGGACAGGCUGGCCUCACAGGAGGCCUGGAGCCAGGCUGAGCCUCGGUUUCUCUCUCCACCAUGGGACCUGAGGGUGGGUGGGCUCUUCAUGCCCCAGGCCAUGACCUCUCCUUGUUAAUGAGCCAUGAAUCGGUAGCAUUUCUGUGUGUCCUUUCUGAAAUUACCUUCUAACAUGCAUUGCUUUUCUGCCGGGCCCACUUGUGCCCCUUCUGGUACGAGCCAUGAUGGCGACUUGCAGAGUGGUCUGGGCUUCAGCCUCCAGCCCUCCUGAUGGCCUGGGUGGGCCCCAGUUCCAUGUCUCCCCUCUGUUCCAUCACAGACUGGGGCCCAACGGGAGGAGAGCCGGCAGAGGACUGCAUGACCUUUCCCAGGGCUCGGCUGUGAUUGCCAGUAGCCAGAGCAGAUGCAACCCCUGCCCUCUGGGGCUUCAGCGCUGUUUGAGGUCCUCAGUCACCCUGGACAGCUGAGCAAGCAUUCCUCGCACUGCAGUAGAUGGCACUUUCCCGGCCUCCCUAGAUGUGGAUCCACAGCAGUGCAAGAGGAGCCCAGGAGCG
Molecule: long non-coding RNA, 1086 nt
Filed under: Heterocephalus glaber (naked mole-rat)
Lineage: Eukaryota; Metazoa; Chordata; Mammalia; Rodentia; Bathyergidae
Description: lncRNA (ENSHGLG00100052030.1)
Source: RNAcentral